Bubalus bubalis (water buffalo) is the source of this 519-nucleotide long non-coding RNA. RefSeq lists it as uncharacterized. The transcript has 3 exons. NCBI's taxonomy places the organism in Eukaryota, Metazoa, Chordata, Mammalia, Artiodactyla, Bovidae. The record is from RefSeq and is a predicted model, not a curated record.
CCCGGAUGUCCCACCCCUGCUCGUCACUCCCCACCUUGGACACCUGAGGAGUCAUCCAAAACUGGCCUCCAAGUAGCUACCCCGGCUCCACCCACCGUUCCCCAUCAGGUCUCAGAAGAUCUUUCUAACCCAGGGAUUGAACCCGAGUCUCCUGCACGGGCACGCUCCACUUCCUAAACAUGGGCUGAAUUGGACCAAUCCCAACAGCUCUCACUGCCAGAACAAGGCCAGCCCAGUGACCUCUCACCCAGGCCUCUGCGAGUGGUCCCCUCCCCCAUCUCCAUGACACCAGGGUUCCCAGAUCAUCUCCUCCACCAUCAACACUCUCCUGAUGCGCCUUCAUUUCAUCUUCUAACCGCCCUCAUCAGAGCUGUGGUGUUCCCAGUAGUCACGCGUGGAUAUGAGAGCUGGACCAUAAAGAACGCUGAGUGCUGAAGAACAGAUGCUUUUGAAGUGUGGUAUUGGAGAAGACUCUUGAGAGUCCCCUGGACUGCAAGGAGAUCCAACCAGUCAAUCCUG